RNAcentral lists this transfer RNA (60 nucleotides) under Parasacculina yatsui. RNAcentral's name for it is "tRNA-Pro". Lineage: Eukaryota; Metazoa; Arthropoda; Thecostraca; Polyascidae. The record is from RNAcentral.
CAAAAGUUAGUUUAAUUAAAAUAUAAGUUUUGGAUAUUUAAGAUAUAUUAAUACUUUUGA